ACGCUACUUCCCCACUUGACUAGUGCCAUUUAUUUUCGAUUAUGAAAAAAAACAUAGGCCGGCAGGCCGCCAUACGGAGUAGAGUCGCUGAGUCGCAGAGUCGUCGUUGUAGCUAAUCUAGCUUUGCGCUUCGGUUUCAAAAUGUCAAUUUAAACAGUCAAUACUUUAUUAUGUAAAUGUUGACUUUAUUUGUUUGCCUUAAUGGUCAAAACGAGCAGAGGCACCUCGUAGAAGAAUUGCGUACUUCACAGUUUCGUCCAAGCAACGAAGGAAGGUCGACGAAACGUGCCAUUACUGCCAUCUGAUUUCUUCCACACCAUCAUGUCACACAAUUGUUAACCAUGACACAAUUUUCAAUUUCAUGACAACACAAUUUUUCUUUCUUCGGCUGCCUCGGCAUUGACUAAUUAGUUUCAUAUAUUGACUUCAUCUUGAGCAAUUUGCUUUGAGAGCCUUAACAGAAAACAUGCUGUCAACCUCGAAAACCAAUCCAGCAAUCCCGAGCAAUCCUUUGGAUCAUGCACAAAACUUCAAACCUCAAAUAAAGAAAAGCAGACGACAAACAGAAAAGAAAUAAACGAUGCGCCAUCUAUAUUCGUGAAAUAUAUUCGCCACCUAGCGGUCGAAUGGCAUCUCACGGUAAAAAUUGUCAACUACUGAUCAAUCGUUGGCAACGUAGGACUAUUUUCGAUUUUGGUAGUAAAAUAUUCAAAGUGCUACUUAAACUUUUAAUAAUAAUAAAAAAAAAAAACAAGAUCAUGUAAUCCAUCUUUCGAGUCAAAAUUCAGUACAAACUUAUUGCGAAAAAAAUGUCGCACAUUGCGUUUUUCUCAUCAUUUCCUGCAGCUGAAAAAGAAAAUUGACAAAAUUAAAUCGCAAGUUAGACAUGCUUCAAAUCACUUACA
Molecule: long non-coding RNA, 905 nt
Filed under: Daphnia pulicaria
Lineage: Eukaryota; Metazoa; Arthropoda; Branchiopoda; Diplostraca; Daphniidae
Description: uncharacterized LOC124328564, transcript variant X5
Source: RNAcentral